Neopsephotus bourkii (Bourke's parrot) is the source of this 4142-nucleotide long non-coding RNA. RefSeq lists it as uncharacterized. The transcript has 3 exons. The record is from RefSeq and is a predicted model, not a curated record. Lineage: Eukaryota; Metazoa; Chordata; Aves; Psittaciformes; Psittacidae.
UGAAAGUGCUGGGACUGGAGUAGCAUCUUUCUGGCUAUCUCAGACCAGGAAGUCAAACUUCAGUCCUGUUCCCCCUUUGUUUGGUGGAGGAAUUCACUGUGCUAACUGGUGCAUUGGUGCAGAAGAAGUAGCACUAAAACUGUCCUCAUUUUCUGCCCACCAUCUCAUCAGGGAGCAAGCAGUCUGGCAGGAGCUGCUUUCCUUCUAAGUGCAUGCAGACUACAGCCUUCACAGGAGAAUUAAUGCCUUUUUAUUCUUUUGUGGGAGUUUAUCUCAGUUUCCAACCUAUGAAUAUAAACAUUAGUUGGGAAAAUGAAAGAUUUUCUUAUUGAUAAGCCAUGAAAUUAAAUUCUCUUUUGAUCUUUGCUGGAAACUAUUAUGCACAUAGGUUUCUCUUUUCAGGGAAAAUGGAGGAUUAGUUGCAUUAAACAUCUAGAAAAUAAAACAAAAGCAUGACCGUUUUCCUAGGGAAUAAUGGUGUCAUGUUAUGAUUUAUCAGUAUAAUUUAUCUGUGCAUUGUGUAAAAAAGAAAUCCUUUUAAAGGCUAUUGUCAGGAAUAAUUAAACAGAUGAAAAGUGUCUCUGUUAAAAGUAAUCAACAAAGUUUCUUGCCAGUUGUGGCCAGAUCCAAAACCUGUUGAUGUCCGUGAAAUGCCUUACACUGACUUAAGCUGGCUUUCAUAUUGUUCCAUAUAAUCAAUCAUAAGUAUAUUGCAUGAAAGGUGUUGUAUUGUUUUACUCUACCAUAUCAUAAUGUAGGUAUUAUGUAAAAUAUUCAGAAGUUAGAGCAAGAAUCAAAGAAGCUUAUAAACCAAGUCUCACUAUCAGUUAUGGCUUUAAGCCAGGUUUUGAAUGCAUUUAGAUGAUUAAAGAUCAGCUGAAGAAUCUACUGGACUUUUCAAAAUCAUUCAAUGUUUUCCUGUGUGAUCAAAAGGACUGCAGGUCUGUGCAUCAAAAGCUGGCUGUACACUCAAAAUCACGCUCCUAGAGCAUAGGUACUGGGAAAGUGAAUACAAAUCACCUCCACUAGAGAAGACUAGCCAUCAGACCUCAGAGCUGAACAGCUGUUGAAUGAUGGCUGCUGGAAGCACAGUAAAUGGCUUGGAUUAAGAACUGGCUAAAAAAUUACAAGGUAGGUAUGAGGCAAAAGUAAACAAUCAAGUCUUUAUUAACAUCAAAGGAGACAGUGCAGAGGGUGCAGAAAUAGCUGUGGAGGUUGCCAGAGUCCCAUAUAGCUACUGGUAACCUUUGUGGGCUUUUCCACUUGAGGAUGGCAAAGUGGUGAAAGUUAUCCAUAGUUCCAAGAGCAUUUUGGCUGGGAAGAUCCUAAGGUUUUACUCCCAUGGAAUUUAAAUCUGUAAUUUAAUCUGAGAUGUAUUUGAUUUUCAUCCAUAAUCAAGCAACAGAAAUGAAAAGGCCUUUUGUCUUCACUGUAUCCAUUACCAAUAAGGAAAUGGGGAAAGGCUGAUUUUAUGGAAAGUUAUUUUGCAAACUAUGGACAUGGACUUGUAAUUAAAGAACAGUAAUCUUCACAGUCUCUUAUUUGGCCCAGGACAGAGAAUAUACUCUAAUAUACUGCUUUCCUACCUACGGCACAAGGACAAUCAUAAUGUUUAUGUUUAGCUGUGGCUGACAGUAUUGCUGCCUUUAGCUGCACUGCAGUUAUCUUUAGACUGUAGCAGAAAUGACCUACCUAAUAUCCCAGGCAUCCUUUCCUUAAGGGUAGGGUAGACCUGGAUGUCUCUGAAAUAAGAUAAUCAUGUGUAUUAUCUAAUUCUGCAGUCAGCUGGAGGGUGGAAAUUUGUACCUCCCAAAAUGCUCUUCUCUUUGUGGACUGAAUUAUGUUGACAAGAGCCACUAAAAGCUUCAAUGCGGUGCAGUUAUUGCUUAGCUGUAAGUAAGUAAGUAAGAUGAAGUAAGUAACAUCAGGAAAUGCUUUAGAACAGGAAGUGAAAUAGUUAAUAUUUUAGAGGAAAUGGUUACUUCAAGUUUAAUGUACUUAGAGAGUUAGCUAAACUUUGAUUUCUUCAUUGUAAAAAAACACUCUAAAGUCUUUAAUAACUUCAAAGGUUGAGGGCUUCAGUUUUACGGUAGCAGAAUGCUGACUAUGCUUCUCAGGACGAGUUCAAAAGCAAAAGCACAACUUGCUUUGAUCAGAGAAAGCUCAAUUAUAUUAUGGUUCUAGUGAAAUCUGCAUUGCCUUGAUAACUGCAACUGGCAAAUUUUACCCUUCCAUUCCUCCAUCAUGCUAUGCAAAAUAAUCACUUUCUACGUAUAACUCAGGAGUUAAUAAAUUCUCCUACAUUUCAUGGCCUUGCCUCUGAUUUGUUAUUAGAAGCUUAAGGUUUUCAGUAUAGUGGUGGAAAGGCUUCCCUUCCUGCACAUUCUGGCAGAAAAUAGAAAAGGAAAAGAGGCCUUCUUAGGUUGUGUACCUGGGCCAGCCACUUCAAAUUUUUGAAAUCUGUAAAUUAUAGAACGUAUUUUUGUUUCAUUUAAUACUGAGCAACUAUGUUCAAGUCUACCAAGUCAUGCCAAUAUUCACCAAGAUAGUGAAUUACAUCUAUGUGAGAAGGGAGAAACUGGAGCCUGCUGAGAACACAGAGCAAAAGGCUGCUAUGACACAAUUUAAUGCCCCUCACUGGGAAUAAAUAUCUGCCAAGAGGCUGCCUGCUUUUAUAAUCCUUAAAAAACCACAAAAUACCUUUUAUGACUGUGGGUAAUCAAUUGAAAGGAGAUGCUGCUGAACUAUUAUCUCUUCCUUACUACAGGUCUUUUGCAGGUGAGACUGAAACACAGUGAAAGGCUUUAGACAAAUUGGAUUGGACACAAAUCCUGAAACUGUGCAAGAAAAGAAAGGAUGCAAAGCAUCACAGGUCUUUACAUAAAUAAUAAAGGUCCAGUAAUUUGCGUAUAUUAGCACAUGUCUGUCCAAGAUAUCAUCUGUUCUGAUGACAAUUUCCUGAACUAUCCCCAUGUGACCUUGUCACUACAUUUCCUGCCCAAGUCUGUUGCUGUGUUUCUACCUAUCCUGUCUUCAGUCCAUUCUCUCCUCCCCAGCUUGUUUUCAUUUCUUCCCUUCUAAAUUCUGUUCAAUUCUAUUCUCUAUUUUUGUCAGUAUUUUUUUUCUUUUUGUAUUCUCCCUGUCACUGUCAAGUCUUUUUAACUUUCUGUCUUGCCCAGCUCUUCCCAUCUCUUUUCUUCUGAAUUACCCAGCUUUAUUUUUCAGUGCCAAAGCUACAGAAACAUGGGAGGAAGAAUUUCUUCUUCUUGUUUCUCGAGCAUGGUGUUAAAUUACUCAUGGCAAUUGUGCAAUUACAGAAAAAAUGUAUCUUUAGUUCAGGCUAGAAAUUGCAUAUUCAACGCACUUUACUGUCAGGCUGUACGAAAAGCCUCAACUGUUCAUGUGGGAACUGAAACUUUGGAAGCUCAUAUCUUAACCAAAUUUGGGAGAAUUUUUACACCAUGACACUGCAGUGAUGCUUUCCCUCUGCCAGAUUUCAAUUUCUUGCUCUUUAGUUUGAAGGUGUUAGAAGUUUUAUUUUUUUUUUCUUUUUGAUGGUUAAGUAUUAUUUGCUUACAUCUUUCCUGAAAUUGGCUCAUCUCUUUAAGCUGAUGCUUUCCAAGUCUUUCAGCUUGAGGCAAGCACUGGAAAAUCCUAGGAAUGGUCAACACUGUCAAAGUUAUAAACAACUAAAAAUAGGUCUUAUCAUGGAAGCCUUUGAAUAUGCUAACUGUAAGAGGUACAUGUGUAAGAGACAGAACAGACAGCCUGGCUUUCUUUAGAGAUACCUUGGCAAAGACCUGCCCAUCUCCCUGAGGCAGUUCACAUGCACACAGUUUCUAGGCACAUUUCCAAAGAGAGAAUUGAGUAAAUGCUACUUCACAAGCCAGGACAGGAUUGAAAAACUUGCUCUGUAGCCACUGUGCUCUCAGAGCAAUAAGCAAAAAUGAGAGGGUGAGACUGUGGUUUAUAUCCUCUUUCAGAUCCCAGAGAUUACUGUCUCCAGCUGCUCAUCGCCACCUCUUUUGGAGUUCAUAAUCUCUGUUGAUUUGCCAAUGGCAGAUACAAAUGGUGGGUUAGACCAGCUGGAGAAAUUCUGUUGUUUGGUUAGCUGUUGGUUGGGGAUUUUUGUUGGUUGGGUU